GGGGUUGUGGCUCAGUGGUAGAGCACUUGUCUGGCACAUGUGAGACUCAGGGUUCAAUCCCUAGCACCA
This 69-nucleotide transfer RNA is filed under the name Ictidomys tridecemlineatus (thirteen-lined ground squirrel). Its description in RNAcentral is "Spermophilus tridecemlineatus (thirteen-lined ground squirrel) tRNA". It matches the Rfam family "tRNA". From Rfam's summary of the family: Transfer RNA (tRNA) molecules are approximately 80 nucleotides in length. Their secondary structure includes four short double-helical elements and three loops (D, anti-codon, and T loops). Lineage: Eukaryota; Metazoa; Chordata; Mammalia; Rodentia; Sciuridae. The record is from Rfam by way of RNAcentral.